UACGUAGGGGGCAAGCGUUGUCCGGAAUCAUUGGGCGUAAAGAGCGUGUAGGCGGCCCGGUAAGUCCGCUGUAAAAGUCCAGGGCUCAACCCUGGAAAGCCGGUGGAUACUGUCGGGCUCGAGUCCGGAAGAGGCGAGUGGAAUUCCUGGUGUAGCGGUGAAAUGCGCAGAUAUCAGGAGGAACACCAAUGGCGAAGGCAGCUCGCUGGGACGGUACUGACGCUGAGACGCGAAAGCGUGGGGAGCAAACAGG
Molecule: ribosomal RNA, 253 nt
Filed under: uncultured bacterium
Lineage: Bacteria
Description: partial 16S ribosomal RNA
Rfam family: Bacterial small subunit ribosomal RNA
Source: RNAcentral